This 774-nucleotide ribosomal RNA is filed under the name uncultured Neocallimastigales. RNAcentral's name for it is "partial large subunit ribosomal RNA". It matches the Rfam family "Eukaryotic large subunit ribosomal RNA", at positions 24 to 649 of the family's 3401-position model. The record is from RNAcentral. Lineage: Eukaryota; Fungi; Neocallimastigomycota; Neocallimastigomycetes; Neocallimastigales.
UACGACUACAUAUCAGGCAUAUCAAUAAGCGGAGGAAAAGAAACUAACAAGGAUUCCCUUAGUAACGGCAAGUGAAGCGGGAAGAGCUCAAAUUUGAAAUCUUCAAGGUUCUACCUCGACGAAUUGUAGUUUAAAGAAGUGUUUCCUGUUAGAUGAGUAGCAAAAGUUCCUUGGAAUGGGACAUCAUAGAGGGUGAGAAUCCCGUAUUUGGUUAUUCAUUCUAGCUUUGUGAUACACUUUCAAAGAGUCGGAUUGUUUGGGAAUGCAGUCCAAAAUGGGUGGUAAAUUUCAUCUAAAGCUAAAUAUUGGCGAGAGACCGAUAGCGAACAAGUACCGUGAGGGAAAGAUGAAAAGAACUUUGAAAAGAGAGUUAAACAGUACGUGAAAUUGUCAAAAGGGAAGCGUUUGACACCAGUGUUGUUUUUCCGAAAAUCAAUUACGAAUGGCUUGAUUUUGUGUUGUAUUGACCUUAUCAGCUUUCUUCACUUUUUUCGAGUCUUUCUUAAUGCACUUUUCGGUUAACAAGUCAACAUCUAUUUCUUUUGUUGUAAAAGAGUAUUCGGAAGGUGGCUUUCUUUUCGGAGAAAGUGUUUAUAGCCCUAUACUUCUACAAUCGGAGAGAUUGAGGUCUGCAGCGUAGAUCCUUCGGGGUUAGAUACACUUGUGCUAAGUUGUAGCUUUUCAUAGACAACUUGUUGACUAUAUUUAGUCAUGCGGCUUACUCGCUUGUGCUAUUUUACCUACGCUUAGGAUGUUGAGUAGCGACAUACGCAC